RNAcentral lists this long non-coding RNA (205 nucleotides) under Hordeum vulgare. RNAcentral's name for it is "long non-coding RNA (HVUL_LNC019472)". The record is from RNAcentral. Lineage: Eukaryota; Viridiplantae; Streptophyta; Magnoliopsida; Poales; Poaceae.
AAGGAACAACAGUAGUGACAGCGGUAGCAAGUAGCAACAGUAGCAAGCGACAGUAGUAACAACAGUAGCAGCAGAGCAAGACAAGUAACAACAGCAGAGCAAAACAAGUAACAACAGCAGUGGGACGAACUCGUAGGCAAUGGGUCGGUGAUUCGUUUGGAUGAUAUUCAUCAUGCAACAGUUAUAACACGGAGAGAUAUGUGGC